AAGCCAUAAGCAAACCGACUAAACUUAAAACCCAAAAGCAAUAAUAGAAAAUCCCAUUAAAAGAAUAAGAGACCUAAAGUAAACGAAACAGAGAUAGACGGUGCUGCUGCAUCACUUCCUUUGUAUUUUUCCUUCCAUUUUAGCUCUCAUUUGCAUUUAGAGACCUAAAGCAUAUAUGCAUUGCAUAUAUUUGUCUUUUUAGAACCUUUUGAUAGGUUUUUGGAGUGUUUUGGAUUGUGUACUAGGGAUGUAAAUAUGAGAUGAUGCAAAGAGAAGAGAAGACGAACAAGAGAGAAUUCAAGGCGAGAAGUUCACUGGCCGACCCAUGAAGUGACUUAUCGAUGAAAGGAGUGCCACAAGAUCGACCAAACGACUAAUUCACCUGGAUAGGCCAGACAAUUGGAAAGAUUGAGAAAUCUGGGAAAAAACAGUGACAAUCAAUAGGCUUAGAUAAAGCAAGAAUCCAACUAGUUGAUCGACUAUCGAACCCCCUUUACUAAACCC
Molecule: long non-coding RNA, 504 nt
Filed under: Arabidopsis lyrata
Lineage: Eukaryota; Viridiplantae; Streptophyta; Magnoliopsida; Brassicales; Brassicaceae
Description: long non-coding RNA (ALYR_LNC001396)
Source: RNAcentral